GGGUGCUAUACAUGCAGUCGAGCGGACAGAUGGGAGCUUGCUCCCUGAUGUUAGCGGCGGACGGGUGAGUAACACGUGGGUAACCUGCCUGUAAGACUGGGAUAACUCCGGGAAACCGGGGCUAAUACCGGAUGGUUGUUUGAACCGCAUGGUUCAAACAUAAAAGGUGGCUUCGGCUACCACUUACAGAUGGACCCGCGGCGCAUUAGCUAGUUGGUGAGGUAAUGGCUCACCAAGGCAACGAUGCGUAGCCGACCUGAGAGGGUGAUCGGCCACACUGGGACUGAGACACGGCCCAGACUCCUACGGGAGGCAGCAGUAGGGAAUCUUCCGCAAUGGACGAAAGUCUGACGGAGCAACGCCGCGUGAGUGAUGAAGGUUUUCGGAUCGUAAAGCUCUGUUGUUAGGGAAGAACAAGUACCGUUCGAAUAGGGCGGUACCUUGACGGUACCUAACCAGAAAGCCACGGCUAACUACGUGCCAGCAGCCGCGGUAAUACGUAGGUGGCAAGCGUUGUCCGGAAUUAUUGGGCGUAAAGGGCUCGCAGGCGGUUUCUUAAGUCUGAUGUGAAAGCCCCCGGCUCAACCGGGAGGGUCAUUGNAAACUGGGGAACUUGAGUGCAAAAGAGGAGAGUGAAAUUCCACGUGUAGCGGUGAAAUGCGUAGAGAUGUGGAGGAACACCGGGUGCCGAAGGCGACUCUCUGGUCUGUAACUGACGCUGAGGAGCGAAAGCGUGGCGGAGCAAACAGGAUUAGCAUACCCGUGUAGUCCACGCCGUAAACGAUGUAGUGCUAAGUGC
Molecule: ribosomal RNA, 799 nt
Filed under: Bacillus sp. HCB3
Lineage: Bacteria; Bacillati; Bacillota; Bacilli; Caryophanales; Bacillaceae
Description: bacterial SSU rRNA
Rfam family: Bacterial small subunit ribosomal RNA
Source: RNAcentral